UGAUCAAUUGCAAUCACCCUGAAGUGUUCUGCAAGAGCAUCGAAGUUUCUGAAGAAGAAACCUUGAGCAGCCGCAUAUCCAUGCACCAUUACAAGAGUAGGUGAGCCCUCUUUGCUGUCAAAGGUAACGGUGUUAAUGAACCUUGGUUCACUGCUGGCGGAACGGAACCACGUGACUUUAGAACCUGGUGGUCCGGACCCGAUAUUAACCUGUUCUUGAGUAUACGGUGUCCUGGUAUUCAAUCCAAAACAGUUAUGGCCCAAAGUUAUGAAAAUAAUGUGAUCAGUAGACGUCGGAAUCCAACGAAGAACAGAAGGCCAUAAAGAUUUAUUCGUCGUUGACGUUACACUGCCGUCCGUUGCCGUUACGGUUGCCGGAGCAGAUGAGUGGAACUCCUGGGCCAUGGUUUUGACCAGAGAAGUAGAAAUUGAACGUCUGAGGCCAAAUCUAAGGGUCAUAAGUUAGAUUAUGUGAAUCAUUAUAGGUUAUAUGGAUUGGGUUUUAAAUAGAAGUGAUCGGAAAAGAUGAAGAUCUGGUGAUAGGGUUGAAAUACAAGUAGCGGAAAGUGGAGACGAUCGCCGGCCGGUGAAGUAACCGGCGGUUUUAUGGGCGAUCGGAAGUUUGACUUGGUGGGAUUGGGGAGGA
This 645-nucleotide long non-coding RNA is filed under the name Helianthus annuus (common sunflower). Its description in RNAcentral is "sRNA HanXRQr2_Chr05g0223931". The record is from RNAcentral. Lineage: Eukaryota; Viridiplantae; Streptophyta; Magnoliopsida; Asterales; Asteraceae.